UACGAAGGGGGCUAGCGUUGCUCGGAAUCACUGGGCGUAAAGCGCACGUAGGCGGACUCUUAAGUCGGUGGUGAAAUCCUGGAGCUCAACUCCAGAACUGCCUUCGAUACUGGGGAGCUCGAGUCCGGGAGAGGUGAGUGGAACUGCGAGUGUAGAGGUGAAAUUCGUAGAUAUUCGCAAGAACACCAGUGGCGAAGGCGGCUCACUGGCCCGGUACUGACGCUGAGGUGCGAAAGCGUGGGGAGCAAACAGG
This 253-nucleotide ribosomal RNA is filed under the name uncultured bacterium. RNAcentral describes it as "partial 16S ribosomal RNA". It matches the Rfam family "Bacterial small subunit ribosomal RNA", at positions 524 to 776 of the family's 1533-position model. The record is from RNAcentral.